This is a long non-coding RNA of Anneissia japonica, 961 nucleotides long. RefSeq lists it as uncharacterized. The record is from RefSeq and is a predicted model, not a curated record. Lineage: Eukaryota; Metazoa; Echinodermata; Crinoidea; Comatulida; Comatulidae. The transcript has 3 exons.
UGUGAUACGCCCUCUUCAGCACCUUAAUCGACAAGACGAGAUCUUCAAAGAGAUACUUUAUUAUAACAAAUGUAACACGUGAAGAGAUAAACUCUAAAUCGUCUUGCGGUAAUGCUUUUAGUUAGUACCCACAGAAGGAACCUAAUCAUUCUUAACCUGUAUUAAUACAUCGUUUAUGUUUUUUGAUAGAUUCAGCAGACAUCAGUUUUAAGUACUACAACGGACUAUACUACACCACACUUAACUACGGAUGCAAGCACAACGGACAGUAGAAUUACAGACACAGAAGAAGUAACUGUAACAACAGAAUACGUAGAGCCGAUUGAAACGAAUAAAGAGAAAAACCAAGAUUGGUUAUCAGGUGGUGUUAUUGCAAUAAUUGUCGUUAUUGUGGUGACAACGUGUUUAGUUAUUGGAAUCUAUGCUUUUACUUUGAAGAAGAAAAAUCUUAAUGGUGAAAUUGAAAAGGUGGAAAAUAAUCAAGAAUUAAAAAAUAUUUCAAAUGAAGCGUUUGAAACUUAAAUGCUUGAUACCGUUACUGACUGAGCGAUUGAAUUUUGAGUAUUACAGCACUGUUUCCUUAAAUAUUUAGCUUUUGACAAAAGUGUAUUUUGUAACUGAUAACACAACAAAACUCAAUUCCAUAAUUUACAGUAGCGGAUGCAGUUAAAUAUAACAAUAGUAAAUUGAAAUAUGAUUUUUCGCUGAGGUUUGUUAAUCAUAUGUUUCCUCUUGUUUAUGUUAUCUUUGUAUUAUGGUGUACUUUAUCCAAACCUUUUGUAUUGGUGUGGUUAGUAAUUAUUGUUUCAUGCAUCUCUGAAGAAGAGCACAUGUUACAAAAUACUUUUAAAUGCAUAUUAAAUAAAUAAUGUAUGACAUAUAAUAAUCUUUACUUAUAUUGAAAUAUUGUAUAAAAUAAUCAUCUCAAAUAGUAUUACAGUAUAUAUAUAUAUAUAUAUAU